UACAGAGGGUGCGAGCGUUGUUCGGAAUUACUGGGCGUAAAGCGCGCGCAGGCGGCUCUUUAAGUCUCGUGGUCAAAUGCCGGGGCUCAACCCCGAGCGUGCCGGGGAUACUGGAGGGCUGGAGACAGGUAGAGGCAAGUGGAAUUCCGGGUGUAGCGGUGGAAUGCGUAGAGAUCCGGAAGAACACCGGUGGCGAAGGCGGCUCGCUGGGCAGUGGCUGACGCUGAGGCGCGACAGCGUGGGGAGCAAACAGG
This 254-nucleotide ribosomal RNA is filed under the name uncultured bacterium. Its description in RNAcentral is "partial 16S ribosomal RNA". It matches the Rfam family "Bacterial small subunit ribosomal RNA", at positions 524 to 776 of the family's 1533-position model. The record is from RNAcentral.